UCGGACGUGGUGCACGGUGCACACCCGCUUUUCUUGAGAGAUGAUCCAAGAGUCAGACGUCAGCGGAAGCCCGGGUUCGACUCCCGGCGUCCGAA
Molecule: non-coding RNA, 95 nt
Organism: Mycena epipterygia
Lineage: Eukaryota; Fungi; Basidiomycota; Agaricomycetes; Agaricales; Mycenaceae
Source: the annotation of a GenBank genome assembly